Molecule: ribosomal RNA, 486 nt
Filed under: Chaetomium sp. KAM1
Lineage: Eukaryota; Fungi; Ascomycota; Sordariomycetes; Sordariales; Chaetomiaceae
Description: eukaryotic LSU rRNA
Rfam family: Eukaryotic large subunit ribosomal RNA
Source: RNAcentral
CGGCGAGUGAAGCGGCAACAGCUCAAAUUUGAAAUCUGGCUUCGGCCCGAGUUGUAAUUUGCAGAGGAAGCUUUGGGCGCGGCACCGACUGAGUCCCCUGGAACGGGGCGCCAUAGAGGGUGAGAGCCCCGUAUAGUCGGACGCUAAGCCUGUGUGAAGCUCCUUCGACGAGUCGAGUAGUUUGGGAAUGCUGCUCAAAAUGGGAGGUAAAUUUCUUCUAAAGCUAAAUACCGGCCAGAGACCGAUAGCGCACAAGUAGAGUGAUCGAAAGAUGAAAAGCACUUUGAAAAGAGGGUUAAAUAGCACGUGAAAUUGUUGAAAGGGAAGCGCUUGUGACCAGACUUGCGCCUGGCUGAUCAUCCGGUGUUCUCACCGGUGCACUCUGCCAGGCUCAGGCCAGCAUCGGUUCUCGCGGGGGGAUAAAGGCCCUGGGAACGUAGCUCCUCCGGGAGUGUUAUAGCCCAGGGUGCAAUGCCCUCGCGGGGA